This 285-nucleotide unclassified non-coding RNA is filed under the name Hevea brasiliensis (rubber tree). Lineage: Eukaryota; Viridiplantae; Streptophyta; Magnoliopsida; Malpighiales; Euphorbiaceae. The record is from RNAcentral.
UGCUUGAAGCCAUUCAAUGCACCAUCCAAGUGCGGAAGCCAGAAACACUUCAUCUUCAGUUAAUUUUUCCCCUUGUCUUAGUAACUGGUAGCUACCAAUGACAGAGAGACCUCUGUUCAACUUUCCUCCAGGUACAUUGUAAUCCAGCAUCCGCUCGACCCAUUGGCGAGAAUCGUCAGUGAACUCGAAAGCAGGGUCGUGAAGGAGCUCAGAUUUCAACAAUGAGUAAACCUCCAAGAAUUUGGACCUGAAUUCACUCAUUUUUCGAUGGGAAAAAGGGGGAGA